This 1311-nucleotide ribosomal RNA is filed under the name uncultured bacterium. RNAcentral's name for it is "bacterial SSU rRNA". It matches the Rfam family "Bacterial small subunit ribosomal RNA", at positions 9 to 1313 of the family's 1533-position model. The record is from RNAcentral.
GAGUUUGAUCCUGGCUCAGAAUCAACGCUGGCGGCGUGCCUAACACAUGCAAGUCGAACGAGAAAGUCCCCGCAAGGGGAUGAGUACAGUGGCGCACGGGUGAGUAACACGUGACUAACCUACCUUGGAGUGGGGGAUAACCUCGGGAAACCGGGGCUAAUACCGCAUAACAUCUGGAGGACGAAAUACCCCCGGAUCAAAGGAGCAAUUCGCUCUUAGAGGGGGUCGCGGCCGAUUAGUUAGUUGGCGGGGUAACGGCCCACCAAGACUGUGAUCGGUAGCCGGCCUGAGAGGGCGCACGGCCACACUGGAACUGAAACACGGUCCAGACUCCUACGGGAGGCAGCAGUGGGGAAUUUUGCGCAAUGGGGGAAACCCUGACGCAGCAACCCCGCCGUGGAGGAUGAAGUCCCUUGGGACGUAAACUCCUUUCGACCGGGACGAUGAUGACGGUACCGGAAGAAGAAGCCCCGGCUAACUUUCGUGCCAGCACCGCGGUAAUACGAGGGGGGCGAGCGUUGUUCGGAAUUAUUGGGCGUAAAGGGCGCGUAGGCGGUGCGGUAAGUCACCUGUGAAACCUCCGGGCUCAACUCGGGGCCUGCAGGCGAAACUGCCGUGCUGGAGUGUGGGAGAGGUGAGUGGAAUUCCCGGUGUAGCGGUGAAAUGCGUAGAUAUCGGGAGGAACACCUGUGGCGAAAGCGGCUCACUGGACCACAACUGACGCUGAGGCGCCGAAAAGCUAAGGGGAGCAAACAGGAUUAGAUACCCCUGGGUAGUCCUAAGCCCUAAACUAUGGAUGCUUUGGUGUAGCCGGGUACCCAAUCCCGCUGUGCCGCAGCUAACGCCNUUAAGCAUCCCGCCUGGGGGAGUACCCGUCGCAAGGCUGAAACUCAAAGGAAUUGUCGGGGGCCCGCACAAGCGGUGGAGCAUGUGGUUCAAUUCGACGCAACCGGAAAAACCCUUACUUGGGCUUGAAAGCCCAGUGGACCGGGGGUGAAAACAUCCCUUUUUCGCAAAAAAUUGUUGCGGAGGUUCUUGCAAUGCUGUGUCAGCUCGUGUCGUGAGAUGUUGGGUUAAGUCCCGGCAACGAGGGCAACCCUUUAUCCCUAGUUGCCAUCAGGUUAUGCUGGCCACUCUAGUGAAACCGCCCCGGGAUAACGGGGAGGAAGGUGGGGAUGACGUCAAGUCCUCAUGGCCUUUAUGUCCAGGGCUACACACGUGCUACAAUGGUCGGGUACAAAACGUCGCAAACCCGCGAGGGGGAGCUAAUCGGAAAAAGCCGACCCCAGUUCGGAUUGGAGUCUGCAACCC